UCAUUUUUCUUAUAUACUCAACACUUUCUCCCACCUUAUUUUACUUCUUUCCUCCCAAAUCUGCUGAUUUUAUAGUUAUCAGUUCUUCUUAGAUGGUGGGUGGUUUGUUUUUUUGGGUUUUUUUUCCACCUUGGGUCAAUCUUGCAGUUCUUAUUGAUUCCUUACUUCGGGAAAAAAGCCUUCAUGAUUUCAGUAGGUGGUCUCCUGGAAUCACCUCUUGGGUUUUGCCAUAUUGAGUGCAUGAUGUCUUUUAGAGAACUGAAACUGAAAUCACUGUGCUUCUUUGUCCAGGUACAACGUGAAAUUGUACAUCAAAAUCUUUAUCAUCAAUCAGGAUGUCCAGAACCACUCUUUGAGUUUGCUGUUACUGAAGUCUCAUUGAACUACGUGCGUGAUGAGGAGACCGGUAAAGGGAGACUGCAAAAUCCAUGCCCUCCUUUGAGAGGCCAAAGAAGGAGGCAUAGCAAGGAUUUUGUCCCAGUUAUGGCCCAAAUUAUUGUUGGAUUGGUGUACUCAAGCCAGAAUAUCAGAAGAAAACCCAGGCCAAAGUGAAGCAGUGUCAUGCUUCAGCAGGUUGCACAAGCAGCAGAAGAUACAGAGGAGACAAGUGCUGUGGAGAGCCCUACCCCAAGAAAACUUCUGUCUGUCAAGCUGACUUUUACACAUGGAAGGUUUCACUGAAGUUGGUUUAACCCUUAUCAAGAAGGGGGCAGAAGGUAUGAAUUAAAGACAUAAUUAAAGUUUAGGCGCUCAGAAGACGUGUAUCCUCACUGAAAUGACAUGGACCUGUUGGUGUGAGUCCAGAGGAGGGCCAUGAAGAUGAUCAUAGGGCUGGAGCACCUUUCCUAUGAGGAAAGCUUGAAAGAAUUGAGGUUGAUCAGCCUUAAGAAGAGAAGGCUGCUGGGAGACCUUAUUGUGGUCUUACAGUACCUAAAGGAGCCUUGCAGACCUGUGGAGUGGGAAGUCAAGCCGGCAGCCCAAAGGCACCACAGCCAGAAGAGAAACAGGAGGAGGAUGUGGAAAUAAUUGGAAAUCCCUGGGUUCCAGAAAGUCAGCAGAGAACAUGCCAGCGCCCUUAAGCUAAGGAGGGACCUGGGAGAGGGUGCAGUUUGCAUGUUUGGAAGGAGAGAGGGAAGUGCGUGUUAAUAAGGCAGUGUGAAGGUCUGUGAAGUGCAGGAGAGGCAUUCGAGGUGGGAACCGCACCCUGUCUCUAAUUCCCUCAUCUAAUCUGGCUGCAGCAGGAGCCCACACAGAAAAACCUCUUUCAAUCUCCUUACUGUCAGCUGUCUCCACACCACUUUUGGGCUCUGCAAAUGGCUAAAAUGUGAAGCAUGGGUGGGGUGUGUGUGUGUGUGUUGUGUUUUGUGUCAGUUUGUAAAGCUUUGAAGUUGAAAAAUUGUUUUUAAAAUAAAUUUCCUCAUGUUGUGAAGAACAAAGCAGUAAAUUUGCUACCUGAAACAGCCCCCAUAUCAGUUAAAUUAUCAAAUGCAAAUGGCUUAUUGAAGUAAUUCAGGAAAAAACCCAAAACUACUCCUUAAGAAACAGCAGGCUAUACAUUUAAAAGAUUUUUAUUCUUCUCACUCAAGAACAGUGCACAAACAAUAUGGGUGCUCCCAGCUCUGCUGGCUGCCAUUGACAGUGCCAGAGAGCUCUCCUAUAGGCUGAGCUGAAGAGUUUUAGCUUGUUCUGCAGGACACUUGGCUGGAGCAAAGAAACUUCUCCAUAGGCCAAGACUUCAACAGGUUAUUUCAUGUGUCUGUUCAGCCAGUGCAGAGGAAGUGAAAAUCACCCUCAAAUGCCCCUUCUUGGAAAGUCCUCUGGAAGAUGGGGAAAUUCCCAACUUUAGAAUACUGGCAGAACAUCCUAUUUCUGCAGACUCUUCCGAAAGAAAUGCUUUUUAAGACUGUGCAUUUCCUUGGGACACUCAUCUGGGAAAAAUUAGGAUAAUUUCUUUAAUCAAGCAUUGUGGCUGGGGCAGGGAGAAUUGGGGAGCCACAUGACCUCUCUCUCAUGUCCUUUGUGGCUGUGUAGGACGGGGGGAAUCCAUCCUCUACUAAUGUGGCACUGCAGGCUUAGACAGCCCAAUGAACCAUUCUGUUUGCCCUCAGGCUCCUCCAACUUGAAAUCAAGCAACAGAGCCACUUUCCUGCAUGGAAGCUGCUCAGCAGGAGAAACAGGGAAGAGAUAGCAGCUGCUUAGAGCUCUCCCCUUUUGCAUCCAAGCUGCUUGCUGGCCCUGAGGUGCAGGGAGGGGGAAAGGGUGAUGGGAGGCAGCUGGGGAAUGUGAUGCCCUCUGUAUCCUUCCUGUAGUGACAAGCCUUAUUCAAACACUUCAGUUUGAAAAGCUCAGAGUGCAGCUCCAGGAGAAUGCUUUCAAUUCAUAAUCAAAUAUGGGGCAAUAGCAGAUGGAUAAAACAAACAAUUGUGGGGGAGGAUGAGGUACAUUCUCAAACACUCUGGAGUGUGUUCUGGGAAGAAGACACCCACUUUCUACAUGUUAUUUCUCAUUCAAGGAAAUCUAUGGGCGAGUGAACUUUGGGACCUUUUUCACUGUGCUCAGAAAAAUUGCUGGAAGAUGCACCUCUAUUUUAUUUUUUUUUUAAAUAUGGAAUCAGUUUUCAUGUUCUUGCAGGCUUUGAAGCUCUUCCUAUCCCCACUGUAUUACUCCUCUCUUUCUUACAUGAGGAAAUGGAGCAAGUAGCUUGUCUAUCUGAUCAGCACUAAUCCUACCCUGUCACUAUGCCAGGAGAUGCAGCCUGUUGAGUGGAGCCCUGGCACAGCAACCCAUACGUGCAUUUAGUGCUCUGCGGGCCUCAUUGUGUUACACUCCUCAGGAUCCCUGCUCUGUAAGCUCUGCAAGAGGCUCUUCUCUCCAGUGGUGAACUGGGCUCCUACUGCAUGUGCAGCCAACUCCAUUGUUCUGUUGGUGAUGAUAAAACAUAGGCUUUUACAGCAAAGAAAGCCUCCAUGCAAGCUGGGGGGCUUCUCAAGGCACAGCAGGCCAUGACAAGUAGCGUUAAGUGAGAUAUGAACUGCUCUGAACAGAUGCAGCUGGUGUGUUUGACUGUGAUAAGUGGUGGAAAAGCAUGCCAUAUCUUCCCUUAGGAAUGUGUUUAUUGGUUGAAAUGUUACAUCCAAACAUACUAUUUUUUACUGGCCACAUGAUUAAGAUCAGAGUCAAGAAUACAACUGUGCAGAUCUCAACCACUGGGACCAUUGCUGUGCACUGCGAUAACCAAAAAAGAGAGGCACAGUGUUCUCACUCCAUAAGAACAUUGAUUAAUUGCCUCAGUUCCUCUGGAUCCCAGCUUCUCUGGAACCUGUGAGAAAUUCCUUUUCAUAAUACUGCACUGACUUCCCAAAAAGUUUAAGUGCUUCAUAAGCAUAAAUUAAUUCAGCCAUACAGCAUUUCUGUGAUGUGGGAAAACCUGUGAUGCCAACCUGACACCACUCACUUGACUUGCUUAAUACUGCAAACUGAAUCAGUGAUGUAGAUAAGAACCAAACUCAGGAUCCCUGCUUCUGACCUCCUUGCUUCAUGCAGUGAAUGCAGACGUGGCAAACACGCAAUAUUCAACAAGUGGUUGGAUUGUGACUAGUGCACCUUUGCAUAAUAGUGCAAAAGCAAUUCCUUUUAUGGAUUCCCUCUCCCACUUCAAAAACUACCUUUAGUGAAAGGAAAAUGCUCUAAAAAGCUCACUCUUAUAAAUGUAGCACUGAACCAUUUCUGCCCUUAAUUUCUUACCCCCACAUAACUGUGAGUGGCUUUAUUUAACAUUCACAAUCGAGUUUGUGAUUUAGGUGGCUGAGUUAGCUGACUGACCUUUAGAUUUGGUUCCCUCUGGAGUCAACAGACAGGUGUAUAUCUAGGAGGUUCUUCCAGAGGAUGAUUCAGAGCAGAAGUCCAAGUAAUGUGGUCAGAUUUGAGCUGAGUGAGCGCCUAAAGCCUUGACAAACUCUUGUUCCUGAUUGCAAAAGGUGGAGUUGGGAUUAUCUGACAGCACAGUAUAAAAGAAGUGAAAUAUGUCUGACAGAGAAAAGACCAAGAGGUGAUUAUGUCUGUGCUAUGUUUUGCAUCUACGAGAGCUCGAAGCAAUAGGAAUAAACAUACAGUGGAGACAUCUAUGUUACAGGCAACUGUCUAGCUGGAUUCGCAGCACUGAGCAUAACUCAGAAACUAUACAUUAGUUUUUAAAGGCUGAUAAAAAUUGUCAGUUUUGCAUUAAUAAUGGGACAACCUGUUGUUAUUUGCCGUCUCCCUUAUAUAAAAACUUCUGCCAGACAUUAAUUUUCCACUCAGGGAGGCUAAAUGCAUGUGAACAUUAUCUGAGGUAUCUUGAAUAUCUUUUCUUAAGACAAGACAAUGACAUUUCUCUGUACAAGUUCAAACAUGACUCUCCCAUGUUGCAAAGAACUGUCAAAUUGAAUAACAGGUACAGUGAAAGCACUUCUUUCCCAAACUAUUCAAAUGAGCAUCACCUUAAAUAAACAGAACCUGGCUAAGGGUUACAUGAAAGAUUUGUCAUAGCAAGAAGUAAUAUUUGAAUGAUAAUAUCUCUUAAUUUAUUCAUUAUUUAAAGUUACUCUUUUAAAUAGACCUAGAGCAGUCUUUCCCAGGUAACCCCUGAGAUAAAGUUAUCAGUCUCUGUCUCUCAUCUUCACUGCAUCCUGCUGUAAAUAAUGCUUUUGCACAUGGUAUCUCCUACCAGUGGUGAUUGCAGUAACUCUUUGGCUCCCAGCAGAAGUAGUUGGGGGUGUGGUUAAGCCAGGAUGCAGUGAACAUGAUUCAUACAAAAAACCUCAGACCUUGGACUGGUUGUAAGGGAUUCCCACGUUUAUUAUGUGGGAAAGUGUUGAACAUAUUGUAUAAAUUAUACAAUGGAGCUGAAAGAUUGGGAUUUCCCUGUGUUAGUCAGUUGGUUACUACACUAGAUUUAGACCGUCAUUAAAGAAGAAAAUAAGAAUCUUUCUUAUUAUAGACAGCAAGACAAUAUCCAGGGUACUUUUUAAUUAAGAGAAUCCCAGAGAAAUUAGAAAGUGAUGCAGGAAUUGGAGCAACAACUGAUUUGCUUUUGCAAAUAACUGCAACCUUUACAAUGAAAUGGUUUGAUACUUCUUUUCUUGUCUUGAAAGCAGUCUCUCUAGCAAUUCAGAUAUAUUGACAGAAGACAUGACCUUUCUGUGGUAUUCAGGGCAUUUACACUGUCUGACUGAUUCUGCUUUAGUCAUCUGUUAUGGUGCAGUUUGGAGAAACCCAGGAUCCUCAUACUGCCAGUGUAGAGGAGGCAGGCAUGAUUCAGAGAAGCCAGGCUAAAUGCCUAAAGGAAUUUGAAGGAGAUGGUGUGAAUACCACCUGUGCUUCUACUCUGAACCUCAUUUUUCAGUUAUUUGUAGUUUUACUGUAAAACUUCUCUUGGAGCUCAACCUUUGCACACAUGAAGUCAGAGACUUGUAACAGCCACCAAUUUGUAACAGCUGAGAAUCUGGCCCAGGAUCUGUAAUUUUGUUUUUAAUAGCUAUUUGGAAGAGAUUAUUUUACAACUUGUUCUAAUAUGUACAUUCCCAGUAGACUGCUCAGGUAAUUACUUGGGCUGUAGUUCAAAUAUUCCACAGUUUGAAAUAUACUUGCAGAAAAAUCUAUUUUUCUGUGUACAGAGGUACAGAAACAGUCACUUCUUUGGCAUGUGUAGCUAUUCCUUUUCAAACAAAUCCAAAAUUGUAGGUGUAUAAAUGUAUGAAGAUGAAAAUAUUUUCAGUUUGUAUUUAAGGAUAUAUUUGGAAAUGUGUACCUUUACACAGUAAAAAUUUGUUACCUGGCAACACACAAGGUUACGCAGAAUAAAGAAAUAAGGAAGAAAUGCUCAUGAAAAAGAUGUUUGACAUUGAAGAAAAGUUUUAUAUGUCAUCUUGAGUGAUGCUUUCUCACUAGCUUAUAUGAAAGAUAUUUUCUACGUAUAAAUUUUUCUUAUGUUCACAGGUCAGUAGGCCUUAGU
Cyanistes caeruleus (blue tit) is the source of this 5992-nucleotide non-coding RNA. The record is from RefSeq and is a predicted model, not a curated record. Lineage: Eukaryota; Metazoa; Chordata; Aves; Passeriformes; Paridae.